AUGUUGAUGUUAGUUCCUUAUUUGUUUAUUUUCUCUAUGAUGUGCUAUUGUUUUUAUACAUUCAUAUGUGUUAUAUUUUGUCUUUUCCCCGUCCUUUUUGAUAAUGUUAAAGGGGGGAGAAGAGAUGCAUGUGUCUUUGUGUAUACCUCUUGUCUAACUUAUGCAGAAACAUAUAUGAUUAAAUCUGUCCAAAACUUCUGCAUCAAGAGAGAGCAUUGUUUCAAGGGGAGUAUCAAACUUAGGGGGAGAAUUCUCUUGUGUAUACCUUCAAAGACACUCAAACUCUUCAAUUUUCAAAUGGUUGACAUCAUCAAAAAGGGGGAGAAUAUGAAGUUAAGUUUCUCCAUUUCUAUGCUUUGA
Molecule: non-coding RNA, 360 nt
Organism: Vicia faba (fava bean)
Lineage: Eukaryota; Viridiplantae; Streptophyta; Magnoliopsida; Fabales; Fabaceae
Source: the annotation of a GenBank genome assembly